AAAACGGAGAGUUUGAUCCUGGCUCAGGAUGAACGCUGGCGGUAUGCUUAACACAUGCAAGUCGAACGGAUGUUUUCGGACAUUAGUGGCGGACGGGUGAGUAACGCGUGAGAAUCUAGCUUCAGGUUGGGGACAACAGUUGGAAACGACUGCUAAUACCGAAUAUGCCGAGAGGUGAAAGAUUAAUUGCCUGAAGAAGAGCUCGCGUCUGAUUAGCUAGUUGGUGGGGUAAGAGCUUACCAAGGCGACGAUCGGUAGCUGGUCUGAGAGGACGAUCAGCCACACUGGGACUGAGACACGGCCCAGACUCCUACGGGAGGCAGCAGUGGGGAAUUUUCCGCAAUGGGCGAAAGCCUGACGGAGCAAUACCGCGUGAGGGAAGAAGGCUCUUGGGUUGUAAACCUCUUUUCUUAGGGAAGAAAAAAAUGACGGUACCUAAGGAAUAAGCAUCGGCUAACUCCGUGCCAGCAGCCGCGGUAAUACGGAGGAUGCAAGCGUUAUCCGGAAUGAUUGGGCGUAAAGCGUCCGCAGGUGGUUUAUCAAGUUUGCGGUUAAAGGUUCUGGCUCAACCAGAGACAGGCCGUGAAAACUGAUAGACUAGAGUAUGGUAGGGGCAGAGGGAAUUCCCAGUGUAGCGGUGAAAUGCGUAGAGAUUGGGAAGAACACCGGUGGCGAAAGCGCUCUGCUAGGCCAAAACUGACACUGAGGGACGAAAGCUAGGGGAGCGAAUGGGAUUAGAUACCCCAGUAGUCCUAGCCGUAAACGAUGGAUACUAGGUGUAGCUUGUAUCGACCCAAGCUGUGCCGUAGCUAACGCGUUAAGUAUCCCGCCUGGGGAGUACGCGCGCAAGCGUGAAACUCAAAGGAAUUGACGGGGGCCCGCACAAGCGGUGGAGUAUGUGGUUUAAUUCGAUGCAACGCGAAGAACCU
This 929-nucleotide ribosomal RNA is filed under the name Chlorogloea sp. CCALA 695. RNAcentral's name for it is "Bacterial small subunit ribosomal RNA". It matches the Rfam family "Bacterial small subunit ribosomal RNA", at positions 1 to 971 of the family's 1533-position model. Lineage: Bacteria; Bacillati; Cyanobacteriota; Cyanophyceae; Chroococcales; Entophysalidaceae. The record is from Rfam by way of RNAcentral.